RNAcentral lists this ribosomal RNA (253 nucleotides) under uncultured bacterium. RNAcentral's name for it is "partial 16S ribosomal RNA". It matches the Rfam family "Bacterial small subunit ribosomal RNA", at positions 524 to 776 of the family's 1533-position model. The record is from RNAcentral.
UACGUAGGGGGCGAGCGUUGUCCGGAGUUACUGGGCGUAAAGGGCACGCAGGCGGUGCGGCGCGUUUCGCGUGACAGCGGAGGGCUUAACUCUCCGAGGAUGCGAAAGACGGCGGCACUUGAGGGCCAGAGAGGGACACGGAAUUCCGGGUGGAGUGGUGAAAUGCGUAGAGAUCCGGAGGAACACCGAAGGCGAAGGCAGUGUCCUAGCUGGUGACUGACGCUGAGGUGCGAAAGCUAGGGGAGCGAACGGG